UGCAACCCGACUCCGUGAAGCUGGAUUCGCUAGUAAUCGCGCAUCAGCCAUGGCGCGGUGAAUACGUUCCCGGGCCUUGUACACACCGCCCGUCAAGCCAUGGAAGCCGGGGGCGCUUGAAGUGCGUUGCCGCAAGGCGCGCCCUAGAGCGAAACCGGUGACUGGGGCUAAGUCGUAACAAGGUACC
This 187-nucleotide ribosomal RNA is filed under the name uncultured bacterium. Its description in RNAcentral is "partial 16S ribosomal RNA". It matches the Rfam family "Bacterial small subunit ribosomal RNA", at positions 1306 to 1500 of the family's 1533-position model. The record is from RNAcentral.